Molecule: ribosomal RNA, 496 nt
Filed under: uncultured bacterium
Lineage: Bacteria
Description: partial 16S ribosomal RNA
Rfam family: Bacterial small subunit ribosomal RNA
Source: RNAcentral
AUGAACGCUGGCGGCGUGCCUAAUACAUGCCAGUCGCGCGAACAGAUAAGGAGCUUGCUCCUUUGACGUUAGCGGCGGACGGGUGAGUAACACGUGGAUAACCUACCUAUAAGACUGGGAUAACUUCGGGAAACCGGAGCUAAUACCGGAUAACAUAUUGAACCGCAUGGUUCAAUAGUGAAAGGCGGCUUUGCUGUCACUUAUAGAUGGAUCCGCGCCGUAUUAGCUAGUUGGUAAGGUAACGGCUUACCAAGGCAACGAUACGUAGCCGACCUGAGAGGGUGAUCGGCCACACUGGAACUGAGACACGGUCCAGACUCCUACGGGAGGCAGCAGUAGGGAAUCUUCCGCAAUGGGCGAAAGCCUGACGGAGCAACGCCGCGUGAGUGAUGAAGGUCUUCGGAUCGUAAAACUCUGUUAUCAGGGAAGAACAAAUGUGUAAGUAACUGUGCACAUCUUGACGGUACCUGAUCAGAAAGCCACGGCUAACUACGUG